RNAcentral lists this ribosomal RNA (253 nucleotides) under uncultured bacterium. Its description in RNAcentral is "partial 16S ribosomal RNA". It matches the Rfam family "Bacterial small subunit ribosomal RNA", at positions 524 to 776 of the family's 1533-position model. The record is from RNAcentral.
UACGGGGGGGGCAAGCGUUGUUCGGACUUACUGGGCGUAAAGGGCUCGUAGGUGGCCAACUAAGUCAGACGUGAAAUCCCUCGGCUUAACCGGGGAACUGCGUCUGAUACUGGAUGGCUUGAGUUCGGGAGAGGGAUGCGGAAUUCCAGGUGUAGCGGUGAAAUGCGUAGAUAUCUGGAGGAACACCGGUGGCGAAGGCGGCAUCCUGGACCGGUAUUGACGCUGAGGCGCGAAAGCCAGGGGAGCAAACGGG